GGGUAAAUGAUGAACUAACUUUUGGCAGAUCAUGAUGUUGACUACCAAAUUACGAGCUUUUUAAUACUGAAUUUU
Daphnia pulex (common water flea) is the source of this 75-nucleotide non-coding RNA. The record is from Rfam. NCBI's taxonomy places the organism in Eukaryota, Metazoa, Arthropoda, Branchiopoda, Diplostraca, Daphniidae.